RNAcentral lists this ribosomal RNA (279 nucleotides) under uncultured bacterium. RNAcentral describes it as "partial 16S ribosomal RNA". It matches the Rfam family "Bacterial small subunit ribosomal RNA", at positions 506 to 784 of the family's 1533-position model. The record is from RNAcentral.
UGCCAGCCGCCGCGGUAAUACGAAGGGUGCAAGCGUUGUUCGGAAUCACUGGGCGUAAAGGGCGUGUAGGCGGACUGAUAAGUAAGAGGUGAAAUCCCCGGGCUCAACCUGGGGACUGCCUUUUAAACUAUUAGUCUAGAAUUCGGGAGGGGAGUGUGGAAUUCCUAGUGUAGAGGUGAAAUUCGUAGAUAUUAGGAAGAACACCGGUGGCGAAGGCGACACUCUGGACCGAUAUUGACGCUGAGGCGCGAAAGCGUGGGGAGCAAACAGGAUUAGAUA